This 460-nucleotide ribosomal RNA is filed under the name uncultured bacterium. Its description in RNAcentral is "partial 16S ribosomal RNA". It matches the Rfam family "Bacterial small subunit ribosomal RNA", at positions 338 to 795 of the family's 1533-position model. The record is from RNAcentral.
CCUACGGGUGGCAGCAGUGAGGAAUAUUGGUCAAUGGGCGUGAGCCUGAACCAGCCAAGUAGCGUGAAGGAUGAAUGAUCUACGGGUCGUAAACUUCUUUUAUAAGGGAAUAAAGUGAGGGACGUGUGCCUUUUUGUAUGUACUUUAUGAAUAAGGAUCGGCUAACUCCGUGCCAGCAGCCGCGGUAAUACGGAGGAUCCGAGCGUUAUCCGGAUUUAUUGGGUUUAAAGGGUGCGUAGGUGGGUUCUUAAGUCAGUGGUGAAAGUUUGUGGCUCAACCGUAGAAUUGCAGUUGAUACUGGCAGCCUUGAGUACAGUUGAGGCAGGCGGAAUGCGUGGUGUAGCGGUGAAAUGCUUAGAUAUCACGAAGAACUCCGAUUGCGAAGGCAGCUUACUAAGCCGCCACUGACAUUGAUGCUCGAAAGUGUGGGUAUCGAACAGGAUUAGAUACCCGUGUAGUC